ACGCACUUGUACAUUCAUCAUCUCAUUUUCUCCUUACGAAAGCCCUCCUAUUCUAGAGCUGGAGACACUGAGGCCUGGAGGAGUUCGGUGGCACAGUCUCCGGGGCACCUGCAGGGACAGAGAUGCCUUGACCUCACUCACUCCUCUCUAGCCCUACGGGCCUCCCCGCUGUUCUAGCACAGUCCUGCCUUCAGGCCUUUGCACUGGCUGUCGCCUCUUUGAACCACUAUCAGUGACGAAGCAAUUAAGACCCAAGUUUUUGCCACCUGUGUCAGACCCAGAAUGUGAACCUAAGGUAGGACGACAAAUAAAUUCUGCCGUUAACUGCUCGAAUUCUCAUUCUGAUUCACAGCGGCCAGGGCCCCAUUCCCAAUCGCUUGUGCACAGAGCUAGCUUUUCCUGCCUGGGACCUGGCAGGCCACAUCUCACAACCUGAGAGCCCGAGGGCCCCUGGCCAGAAAGGCUAAUGGCGUGGAAGAGCUGUGGAAUCAGGGCUGGGGACGGUCCCCUCUUCCAAAGCCCUCCAGUGACGAAAGAGGAAGCAAAGGAGGAGAAAGCAGAAGUGAAUCCAGGGCCUGCCUCAUUUCUCACACCCAAACAGGUACUACCCCGCGUGUGAGCAGGUUGCGAACAAAACAGGAAUCUGGUGCAGUCAUUGAACGCAGGGCGCCCUGUGGGGAGCAGACCGUCCCCCUGCACCCCCCCCAAGCACCCCUCAGUAAGCCCCUCUCUGGGCCACUCCCAGCUGCCAUCAAGGGGGCUGACAGGUGCUCCCUUGUGGACCUGAGGGUUCCGCACCGAGAACUCACGGCGCAGAUGUCCCUGCAGCUGUGUGCGCGCAUGGGACAUCCCAUAGGACCUCGCGGGUGACAGCCCAGGGCGCAGACAAUGCAGAUGGCUACUGAGAAGGAGCUGGACAGAUACAUCAUGAAAAGUCACUGCAGACGUUCUUCUGCGGCCAUUAAAGAAGGGAAAAUACGGUCCCAGCCCCGUAUGUCCAGGAAGAAGCAAAUGUGCCCACCUCAGUCUCCAAGAAAGAGGUGGGGCUGUCUGAAACGCCAACAAGUGUGAAAAAGACCAAAUUCCGGUCCGGAGGGGUGCUGCCUCCCCAGGAGGAAUUCAACAGCCUCCCUGGGUUUUUCCACUCAUCCUUUUCAUCCCUUCCAGAAAGCCCCAGGAUCCUCCAAAAAGGAAACCCGCCUUAAGAUGCCAGGCUUCAUUUUCGAAAAUGGAAUGGGCACCCCAGGGGCUGCAGCUGUCAGCUGGGGACCCAGACUGGGACUCCCCCCAACUUCUCCUCCCCAAAGGCCAUUGUGUUUUCUGCUUAGUAUUAAAUCAUCGGUAUUUUCCAUGAGGAUAAAGACCCCUCCUGACUCCUUUUUUUAUAAUGCCGACUUACGAAUCCACCAAGGGUUACAAAACGUGGGGCG
Mustela erminea (ermine) is the source of this 1430-nucleotide long non-coding RNA. RefSeq lists it as uncharacterized. The transcript is spliced from 3 exons. Lineage: Eukaryota; Metazoa; Chordata; Mammalia; Carnivora; Mustelidae. The record is from RefSeq and is a predicted model, not a curated record.